GUUCUUUUACGACGGAGCCUAAGAUAUUCUUUGUCUUGUCGAGUCACCGAAAGAGACAUCCUAUUAUAUGCACGUUCACAAGGACAAUGGCGCCAUUGUUCUUCGCGUCUUCAAAGCAGCUACAAGAAGAAACCAAGAUGGAGGGGAGCCCAAAGCAUCUGAGAGAAUUGAUAAAUGAAAGAAACAUGCUUAAAACAUGACCGUUUUAAAGGUGAAUGCUGACCAGUGAGAUGCCAGCCUGCGUGUGAAGAUCCUACAGCAGAAGUGCAUGGCCAGUGACACAAGAACUUGCGAGAGAUGCCAGUCCGCCUGUGAAGAUCCUGCAGCAGGAGUGCAUAGCCAGUGACACAAGACGUGCGAAUGAAAACUAGAUGUGACCAUCCAGAAAAAGCAUAGACAAAAAAAUGCAGUCUUAGUACUGGGAUGUUUGAGAUGGGGUCUAUCUACAUGUCUCUAGCUGUCCCUAUCAGGACAGCAUCUGGUGUGGCCUGCAGAGUUGAUUCCUGUACUUUUUUUUUUUUGUGGGCUGUAUGUAAAUGGAUUGUUUUGACAAUCCAUUCGACAGUGUUCUCUUCUGUGAAGGUCAUAGGUGAGCUGAUUGACAGACACAGCUGUACAGACUGAAUGCAAUCCUGACUAUAAAGCUGCAGUUCAUCAUUAUGAGCUAUUUCCUUAUUCUGGCAGUGAUUGAAAUAAAAUGGGGAGUAUUGAAAUAAAAAACAUUCAAUUGCAAA
RNAcentral lists this long non-coding RNA (734 nucleotides) under Mus musculus (house mouse). RNAcentral's name for it is "small nucleolar RNA host gene 5". The record is from RNAcentral. Lineage: Eukaryota; Metazoa; Chordata; Mammalia; Rodentia; Muridae.